GAUGAACGCUGGCGGCGUGCCUAAUACAUGCAAGUCGAGCGAAUGGAUUAAGAGCUUGCUCUUAUGAAGUUAGCGGCGGACGGGUGAGUAACACGUGGGUAACCUGCCCAUAAGACUGGGAUAACUCCGGGAAACAGGGGCUAAUACCGGAUAACAUUUUGAACCGCAUGGUUCGAAAUUGAAAGGCGGCUUCGGCUGUCACUUAUGGAUGGACCCGCGUCGCAUUAGCUAGUUGGUGAGGUAACGGCUAACCAAGGCAACGAUGCGUAGCCGACCUGAGAGGGGGAUCGGCCAGACUGGGACCGAGACACGGCCCAGACUCCUACGGGAGGCAGCAGUAGGGAAUCUUCCGCAAUGGACGAAAGUCUGACGGAGCAACGCCGCGUGAGUGAUGAAGGCUUUCGGGUCGUAAAACUCUGUUGUUAGGGAAGAACAAGUGCUGGUUGAAUAAGCUGGCACCUUGACGGUACCUAACCAGAAAGCCACGGCUAACUACGUGCCAGCCGCCGCCGUAA
Molecule: ribosomal RNA, 515 nt
Filed under: uncultured bacterium
Lineage: Bacteria
Description: partial 16S ribosomal RNA
Rfam family: Bacterial small subunit ribosomal RNA
Source: RNAcentral